RNAcentral lists this ribosomal RNA (468 nucleotides) under uncultured bacterium. RNAcentral's name for it is "partial 16S ribosomal RNA". It matches the Rfam family "Bacterial small subunit ribosomal RNA", at positions 28 to 507 of the family's 1533-position model. The record is from RNAcentral.
GACGAACGCUGGCGGCGUGCUUAACACAUGCAAGUCGAACGGAAAGGCCCUGCUUUUGUGGGGUGCUCGAGCGGCGAACGGGUGAGUAACACGUGAGUAACCUGCCCUUGACUUUGGGAUAACUUCAGGAAACUGGGGCUAAUACCGGAUAGGAGCUCCUGCUGCAUGGUGGGGGUUGGAAAGUUUCGGCGGUUGGGGAUGGACUCGCGGCUUAUCAGCUUGUUGGUGGGGUAGUGGCUUACCAAGGCUUUGACGGGUAGCCGGCCUGAGAGGGUGACCGGCCACAUUGGGACUGAGAUACGGCCCAGACUCCUACGGGAGGCAGCAGUGGGGAAUAUUGCACAAUGGGCGGAAGCCUGAUGCAGCAACGCCGCGUGCGGGAUGACGGCCUUCGGGUUGUAAACCGCUUUCGCCUGUGACGAAGCGUGAGUGACGGUAAUGGGUAAAGAAGCACCGGCUAACUACGCG